This 9331-nucleotide long non-coding RNA is filed under the name Triticum aestivum (bread wheat). RNAcentral's name for it is "long non-coding RNA (TAES_LNC024186)". The record is from RNAcentral. Lineage: Eukaryota; Viridiplantae; Streptophyta; Magnoliopsida; Poales; Poaceae.
UCCGAUCCCGAAGGUAAACCGCGCACACGUUACCCUUUCUGAUUUCAUACCGGAUUCGUGGACACUAGUUACGAGGAAGAAGAACGGCAAGAAGGGACAGGCGGCGAGGCCGCCGCCGAUUCAGCAGCCGUCGACAGCUAGGGCGACCAAGGAAAUUCAAGCGGUCAGACGGACACGCUUGAAUGAUCUGUUGGGCCAGGAGCUGGGGUGCGCGAACGCGCUGGUCGUGGGCUCUAUUUGCACUGGGUAUGAGGCCCAGGCAAAUUCCCAAGCCACGCAUACGUACACGUACAGGCCCACAAUCACACUUGCGAUCAACCCCGGCCCAGCAUCGUUGCAUGAGGCGUCGGGAAACGAACAGCCGUUCGAUCGAUCUGCGCCUAUUACUAGGGUUUGUCGAAGACCUGGCUUCCCAUCGCUUGGAAUUCGUCGGGCGGCGAGGAUUUGCUGCGCGGCCGGCUCUAACGCUAACUCCAUGGCGGGGCGAGGAGGUCCGCCGCCGACAAAAACGGGGGCGCAGCCACCUGCGCGACCACCGGCGAGGGCUCCUGACACCCAGGAGUCUUCACGCACUGCUACACGACAUCAGGAGCAACCUCCACAUAGGCCACCUGCUGCUGGCCAUGGCACCGGUCGGGGUCGAGAUGAUGGCUACGGCAACGGAGGAUACGGUGGUGCUGGACGAGAUUAUGGUGGUGGUCGAGACUUUGGCGGAGAUGGACAUCAUUAUAAUCGCUAUGGCCAGUGGGGCGAUGAUGGUUAUGAUGCCUACGGUGAGGGCCUGCACCGUGGUUCAUCGUCUGGCGGUGGCCGAGGUUCUAGAUGGAAUAAUGGCAACGGACCAGGGCGUGGAUUCCAAGGACCGCCGGGAAACUUUGUUGAAGGAGUAGCUGGACCCUUUCGCAAUCAGGGAGGGCAUCGUUUUCAUGGAGGGAGAGGUGGGGGGCGACGCCCGCCACCGCCACGACCCCAUACUCCACCGCAGGCCGACCCUGCUCGCGACACCACUGUAGAGGCAGCGGCUGCUACGCCCACGGUGUUACCAGCAGCCGUCAAGGACGUGGUUCGGGCCUUCGCGGCGGUGAAGGUGCCAGAGGCCAGAUCGCGGCAUGUCAAUGCAAAAAAUGGUGGUUCGGACAAGGGUACUGACAAGGGAGAGGGUGAAAAGAUAUCCAAAUGGGCAAUCAAGAAGAAGAAAUUGACGUGUUACAGAUGUGGUGAGCCAGGACACUUCGUGGCGGAUUGCACUACUGAGUUAUGCGAUUAUUGUCAGAAGGCUAAACAUGCAAUCGGUGAAUGUCCUUUGGUGUCUGGACCCAAACCGGUAGUCACCAUAUAUGGAGUUUGUUGCAAAGAGCUAAUGUUUUUCGAGUCUCCGGAAGUAACAUCGUCGUUUCAGGCUGUUGACGGCUCUUAUCCAGGAGUAGUUAAGGUGACUAAUGGGGUGAUGACAGGGGCCCAGAUUAUUCAGCUCCUACGUGAGUUGGCACCGGGAAAUUUCCAGUGGAACCUUGUUAGGCUGGAGAACCAGAUAUACAAGGUAGAAUUUCCAACUAAGGAGGAUCAACUUCGUAUUCUUAAGUUUGGCAUGUGCAGGGUUCCUAGCACUAAUAUUAUUCUCGAGUUUGACGAGUGGAAACAAAACGAACCACAGGGAGUACCUUUGGAAAAGGCUUGGGUCCGCUUCUCGGGUGCGCCAUCUAAGUCGUUAAAUCAUUUUCUCGUCACUUGGAGUUUGGUGUCUCUGAUUGGUAAGACGGAGAAGGUUGAUAUGCCCUUCACGCGUGCUAAUGGUGUGGCAAGGUUGAUGGUCGGUGUCAUCAGUAUUGACUUGUUACCCGACACGGUUCCAUGGACGCAUGACGGAAUUACAUAUAGUCUAGAACUUGAGAUUGAGGACACACCAGUAGAUGAUGGGACUGACGAGCAUCAAGACAUGGAUACAUCUGAUGGAGAUCGAGCACCGGAUAACCAGAACAAGGAAUCUGAGGACACAUCUAGGGGCUCAGCCAAGAAACACACUCCGCAGCCUCAUAAAUCUGAUAAGGCAGCUAAGGGGCCGUCGAUAGCUGGAACACCGACGAACACUUUACGUUUUGGCUCUUUUGAUGCUCAUUCGGCUCCUAGUCGCUUGUGGAGCAUGAGGGUAGAGGCGGAUGAUCCGAUGGAGUCACAAUUACCGUCGUUGUUGGAGGCUGCCUGGUGACAUUGCAACCGAUUGAAUCCGAUGGGAGGGGCCGGCCGGAGGGAUAUCACAUCUCCCAUAACAUCUCCUCGUCGUGAUGCCACCACGUUGGCGAAGUCGGGAGAGGUGCCGCCAGCUCCAUCGGUUCCCAGUUACUCUAGCGGGCGAGUUCGGGAUCUGGGAGGCUGGGGCGCCCUUUUGGGCAAUACACAAAGCACCUCGCCGAAAAACCAUGGGCAAGGAACCAGGUUGGGAGACGCCCCAAACUCGCCGAAGAAAUAUGAGCAGGAUACUGGGAUGGUUCAGGGACAUGGGCAGGAGGCCUUCACCCCAACCAUGGUGUCUCCAGUUUGCGUCAACGGCCACAAGACACUACUAGAAUCUGCAAAUAGCCCUAGGGCCAUAUACCCUAAGCAAAAGGGCGAAAACACUAGGGAAAGUGGUUUCCCUAGUGUAUACCCUAGGGAAAUUGCCCUAGGGAUCAAUUGGUGGGGGAAUCUUGGUUUCCCUUGGGUGUUCAAAGAAUACCCUAGGCAUUGUUUAAUUUCCCUUGGGUUUUGUACCCUAGGGAAACAACUGACAUGUGGCAUGACUGCUGACUUGUAAAGUAGAUAUCCUUUGGGUUAGUUCCACUCCCUAGGAAAAAACUCAAGAACCAUUAGUCCAUCCAGCUGUUGGGUUUAUCAACCUUAUAAAAUCAGUGUUUAUAAGUAUUGCAAUGAAUUACACAACUUAAUAUUUGAUUUGCACAAAUGUAACUACUAAUGAUAAAUGUAGAUAAUACCUCCAAAAAGCUGAAGACACAAAGCACGUAAAUUAUAUAUUUCAACCAUCAUUACACAUGACAACAUCCACUAGCAUACACAAUAUUACCACACUUUACAAAAGAUGGCAUCUAGCUCCACUCAUUACCUACACCCCACAACAUGUACAUAGGAUUUUCCAAUUAGUAACCUGGAUUGUCCAAUUAGUAACCUCGAAUAUUGACCGUGCAUGAUAUAUAAGUCACUAGUACAACAAAUCAUAACAAUAGCCAAGUGCACGGCCAAAAAGCGAUCUGUCAUGGUUGCGCCUGGUAACUACCAAUUAAUCAACACAAAAAGUCCUCCUGUAAACUGAAAUAAAAUGCAUUAGUAAGGUUCAGAAAAAUAAAUAAAUAAAAUUGCACAUUUCUGAGUUGGCAUAAGUAUAUAUAGCAGUAGAAAAAUGUGCAUCGGGUCAUAAAACAACUAGAGAAAAAUAUAACUAUCCGAGUUACAAUUUGAAGUUCAACAUAGGGAAACAGCCAGAAACAUGGUCAGCUCACACCAAACCGCUCUUCAGAAUAUUUCCGUUGUUCGUUUCACCCACUGUACAUCCAACUAUACUAUUCUUCUAGAGACAUGGUAGAAUAGUUGGCAGCACAGUGCAGACGUCAAAGGACCAACAAACUUCAUUUUGUUAUAUUAAACAAGGUUAAAGCAAUGGUUUCUUACCCAAAAAAAAGAUGUUAAGAAAAUUACCAAUCCGGAGUACUGUGCACAUGCUAGCAAAUUAGCCUAUUUUUAUAUGUACUAAUAGGUUCACUUCUCCUUAUAAUUAACUAAUGCAAAGGUCAAAUCUUCAUCUUUGUUUAAUCACGAGAUAGAUAGACAAUUUAUAAUUGAUCCAAAACUGCAUGGAUCAGACGCAUAUAGAAAGACGAGGGAAGAAGGCCAUGCGAGCUCACCUAAUCGAGCAUUGGUUCUGAAGUUGAAGCCCCUAUGCGGAUGCGGAGGUUGCAGGACGUCUUGGUCGAGGGCGGCAGGGUCGGUCGAGGACCGCAGCGGCGGAGGCCCCCGCCUGCGUCUGAAGAUGUUGAGGGUGGCAGAUCUGUAAGGUACAAGACAGCGGCGGCUGCCGCAGGAGCAAGGCCUGCAGCAGUGGCAGCGGAACCCUGCUUCUGCAGCGGCCGCGGCGUCCACCAGCGACGGCGACGGCUCCUUCUGCAGCGGCCGCGGCGUCCGCCAGCAACGACGACGGCUUCUUCUGCAGCAGCUGCCGUGGGAGCAAGGUCUGCCUGCAGCGGCGGCGGCGUCUGCCAGCAACGGCGACAGCUGCUUCUGAAGCAGCUGCCGCGGGAACAAGGUUUGCAGCAGUGGCGGCGGCACCCUGCGUCUGCAGCAGUGGCGGCGGCCGCCAGCAACGAUGAUGGCUUGAGGAUGGCACGGGCGGCCUAGCAAUGGAUGAGUGGCGCCGCUGCCGGUUUGGUGGUAUUUUAGUGGCGCUCCCGGCACGGGUUUGCGAUUUGGGGAAAAGUUCGCGCCUGUAGGGGAGGAAUGCGCGCGUACAACCAAUUUGCGCGGGCUCGCGUGAAAAGGGAAAAAAAUUGGCGGGCAGAAUACGGCACGCCCAAUGAACUCCGCGCGCGUACGACUCAAUUUUAGCACUACUGAAGUAGCAUCUACACAAAAAAUAUUACUAGUACGACAUUUUGUAUACCUAAUCAUCAAAAAAAAGUAUGCACUUAUUUUCACCUAUUUCACUACCAUAUUUAUCUUUUAUUCCAUCAAGCGUGUGAACAAAAAGAAAUUGAUCAGCUUAUAUUUCGAAAAAAUGAUCAAUCAACUUAUAUUUUCACCCAAUUCCAUGUUAUUUCCACUUGUGUUUUUCCCUUUUAUAUAUAUUUCAAAUUAUAUAAUUUUGGUUGGAAUAUUUAGAAAACAACUUUUAGCUAAAAUAUAUAUGUAUAUUGGAAAAUCAAUUGUGUGCAAAUCUCCCUAGAGUUAAGACUAGAAGCCCUAGGGAUACAUUAUUAUAGUGUUAGUGGCAGUGGAAGACUGCCGGUAGACUCUUUUAUUUGUCCCUAGGGUUGCACUUAUUUACCCUAGGUAUAGCCAUUUCCUAAGGGUUUAAUCUGUAGGCCCUAGGGAAAGUUGCCAACAUGGCUUUGGUAUGGUCCCACUCAAUGAAUACCCAUUGGGUCUGCUAGCAAACCCUAAGGAAACAAUACGCUCCCUUGGGUUGUCAAGUCGGGCCCUAGGUAAACUUUAUGUCCCUAGGGUGCCAUUUUUGGCUCUAAGGAACCAUUUCAGCCUUAGGGCUAUUUGCAGAUUCUAGUAGUGAGAGGGCAGCUGAGCAUGAGGCUCCGCAACCUCUUCCUUCGCCGGUGCUGAACGAUGCUGUUCCACCCGCGCGCAUCUCUACACCAACCUCGAUGGGUGUGCGUGCCACUACGGGAGUUCCUGCUCGGGAGAGGACUAUGGACGAGAUUAUUGCUUUUGGUGGGAUCGAAGAUCCGGUGACGGCUGGCAGGCGUGUCAGUGAUCGGAUCCAAGAUCAACCAGACGCGGAUGACCUGCAGUUGGGGCGUGCCAUGAGGGCGGCCAAACUUCGAGAUGUCGAGGCAACUACAGGUAUGUCGGUACAUAAGAGUUCUUCUAUCUUACUUUUUUCAAAGCAUGAUAUUUUAGAUAAAGCCAACAACAUAGGAGUUUCUUUGGGAUCGAACGCAAAGGAAGUUGCGAAAUCGAUUAAUGACCUUUUAGACUUAGGAGCAGAGUGGGCCUCUGAUAUUAUUCAAAAUUUGGAGGCCGUUAAACUAAUGAAUAAUGAUGAAGUGAAUCAAUUAGGAAUUUCGGCUAUACAAAAUUUAUGUGAUAAUCUAAUGCCACCCUCGGAGAUCGAUGGGGACCCACUAGGAUCGGACAUUGAGGACAGUAUAGACCUUAUGCCGGCGGCAGAUUAUAUCCCCAGUCACCCUAUUGAUGUAGGUACGUUAAAUAUAGAGGGUAAGCCCAAACAGUCCUGGAGAAGGAAGAUAUAUCCGACUUCAGCUGUUCGGAGGAGUACUAGGAUUAAACUUAAAAAGAAAUUCCAUGACGACCUAUGAGAGGAAUCUUUUGAAAUAGCAGAGGUCUAGCUGACUUGGCUAAAAGAAGGUUCCUUGCAGAUACAUCGGUAGAACACAAGCUCGAUUUUAUUGCACUACUCGAAACCAGUAGAGAUAAUUUUACCUCACAAUUCCUCGGAACUCUGUCGGGUGGAAUUGAUUUUGACUGGCACUGUCUACCCCCUAGAGGAAGAUCUGGUGGGAUAUUACUAGGGGUUAGAUGUGAAACACUUGAGGUGCUAAAUGUGGCCACCAUUGCACGUGAAUGGUCAAAGCCUGUUGCUAGACACACAAGCAUGGAGAGAUGGCAGAACAAGAUCCGUCAUCUAAGAGAAUUUCUUAGGGGUUGGGCAAGGAACGAGAGUGGCAUUUACAAAAAGGAGAAAGAAAGGCUCCUUCAACUAAUUGAUUCCCUGGACAUUAAAGCAGAGGGGACACUGCUAGACGUAAAUGAACACGCCAUGAAAUCUGAAGCGGAACAAAGCCUACGAGUCCUUAUGAGAGAAGAGGAACUCAAAUGGGCAUUACGGGCUAAGACUCUCAAGGUUGUUCAUGGAGACGAUAAUGCACAAUUCUUUCAUAUGAUUGCAAAUGGCAAACAUAGAAAGAAGAGAAUAAUUCAGCUCGAGCAGGAUGAAGGAACCAUUGUAGGUCAUGAAAACCUUAAACUAUAUAUCUCCAAUUACUAUAAACAAUUAUUCGGGCCACCGGCAGAGAGCACGGUGUCCAUGAAUGAGUCUGACACUGGAGAUAUUCCUCAGCUCAUGACAGAACAGAAUGAGUUCCUAACUGCGCCUUUCACUGAAAAGGAAGUUCUGGAUGCCAUAACACAAAUGAAACCAAAUAAAGCACCGGUACCAAACGGGUUUCCAGUGGAGUUUUAUAAGAAAUGUUGGCAUAUCAUUAAAGAUGACCUGAUGCCCAUGUUCCACGAUUUGUUUAAUGGGCAUCUAGAACUGUUCCAUAUAAACUUUGGUACGAUUACUCUAUCACCAAAGAAAGAAGGGGUGAUUCGUAUUGAGCAGUUUAGGCCGAUCUGUCUCUUAAACGUGAGUUUCAAGAUAUUCACGAAGGUGGGGACAAAUCGGCUGACGCAGAUCGCCCAUUCUGUGGUUCAAGAGAGUCAGACGGCCUUCAUGCCUGGUAGACACAUCCUAGAAGGGGUAGUGGUUCUACAUGAAACGAUCCACGAACUCCAUUCGAAGAAACUAGAUGGGGUUAUCUUUAAAGUGGAUUUCGAAAAGGCUUAUGAUAAAGUGAAAUGGACGUUUCUUCAGCAAGCUAUGCGCAUGAAAGGUUUUUCUGAAGCUUGGAGGAGCCAAGUGGAUUCUCUUGUCCAAAAAGGUAGUGUCGGGAUUAAGGUUAAAAAUGAUAAAGGCCACUAUUUUCAGACACACAAGGGGUUGAGGCAAGGGGAUUCAAUGUCUCCGCUCUUGUUUAAUAUAGUGGCAGAUAUGUUAACCGUGCUUAUUCGCAGGGCUAAGGAGAAUGGCCUAGUAGAUGGUUUAGUUCCCCAUCUGGUGGAUGGUGGAGUAUCGAUUCUCCAAUACGCAGACGACACUAUUAUAUUCAUGGAGCAUGAUGUUGCAAAAGCUCGGAAUAUGAAAUUGGUUUUAUGUCUAUUCGAGCAAUUAUCGGGACUAAAAAUAAACUUUAACAAAAGUGAGUUAUUUUGCUUUGGUAGGGCCAAAGAUGAGCAAGAUACUUACAAAUUUUUGUUCGGUUGUGAACUAGGGUCAAUGCCUUUUAGCUAUUUGGGUAUACCUAUUCAUCAUCGGAAAUUAUUCAUUAAGGAGUGGAAGUGCAUCGAGGAUCGAAUUGAAAAGAAGUUAAGUUGUUGGAAAGGCAAGUUAAUGUCCUACGGUGGUCGACUAGUACUCAUUAACUCUGUCUUGACAAGUAUGCCGAUGUUUCUCCUCUCCUUUUUUGAGGUACCUAAAGGGGUACGAAGGAGACUAGACUUCUUCCGAUCUCGAUUCUUCUGGCAGUCUGAUGAGGCCAAGAAGAAAUACCGCUUAGCUCGUUGGGAUAUAUUAUGUCGACCUAAGGAUCAGGGGGGUCUCGGCAUUGAGAAUCUAGAGAUUAAGAAUAAAUGUCUUUUAAGCAAAUGGCUUUUCAGGCUUUCGGUAGAGAACGACGGGAUGUGGGCACAAAUUCUACGCAACAAAUAUUUACAGUCCAAAACUCUAGCACAAGUUAACGCGAGGUCAUCCGAUUUGCCUUUCUGGAAGGGCCUAAUGAGAACUAAAGACUUAUUCUUUCGUAGAACCAAAUUCACUAUUGGCAAUGGGAUGUCAACACGAUUUUGGGAGGAUACAUGGCUAGGGGAGACGCCCUUAGCUGUUCAAUAUCCAAGUCUAUAUAAUAUUGUCCAACGUAAGGAAGAUUACGUUGGUACGAUAUUACAAUCGGUACCUCUAAAUAUUCAGUUUAGGCGAUCUUUGGUUGGGGAGAGAUGGAAGUCAUGGAUACAUCUGGUACGGAGAGUAAUGGAUGUACAAUUAACCGACCAAUCGGAUUCCUUACAUUGGACACUGACCAAGAAUGGCUCAUUCACGGUCAAAUCAUUUUAUUUGGACCUAAUUAACUCUGGCUUCCUCCCGAGAUCCAUUCAUAUCUGGAAAAUUAAGGUCCCCUUGCGUAUCAAAAUUUUCAUGUGGUUCGUGUAUAAACAAGUGAUCCUCACCAAAGACAAUCUGUUAAAACGACAUUGGGUAGGCAGCUCACGAUAUUGUUUUUGUGAUAAUAAUGAAACAAUACAACACCUCUUCAUCGAUUGUCCUUUGGCUAAACUUUUAUGGCGCACUAUUCAUAUAGCUUUCAACAUUGCCCCUCCAAUUAACAUUGAAUCGUUGUUUGGGACGUGGUUAGAUGGGGUGGAUCGCAAUACUGCGAGUCAUCUUCGAGUUGGAAUAUGUGCUUUUUUGUGGGCUAUAUGAAACUGCAGGAACGAUAUGAUCUUUAACGGGCAACAAUUUUUAAACUUCUUGCAGGUUAUCUUCAGAGCUACUGCAUGGAUCCGUACGUGGUCCUUACUCACUCCUACGGAAUCCAGGGAGCCGCUGGUUACUGGGUGCAACCAAUGGAAGAUGGUAGCACGGGUUAUAUUCAAGCAAUUUGGAUGAAGGUCGCUUAACAGGAUAGGAGUUUAGGUCUCUAGUCCUGUUAUCAUCAUCGGUUGUAAUCUUGAGGUCUUUUAUGGCUUUGCCAUCCUGCUCCUUUUGCGAGGGAUACUAUUUGUUUUUUAAGACUUUUAAUAAUAUUGCUGCAUGCAUCAUUCAGAUGCAGAGCCCGGG